Molecule: long non-coding RNA, 4778 nt
Organism: Bos taurus (domestic cattle)
Lineage: Eukaryota; Metazoa; Chordata; Mammalia; Artiodactyla; Bovidae
Source: Ensembl
CAUAGAGAAUGUCCUAAUUUCAUUCUUUUACAUGUAGCUGUCCAGUUUUUGCUGCACCAUUUAUUGAAGAAUUUCUCCAUUGUAUAUUCUUGUUUCUUCUGUUGUAGAUUAAUCAUAAGUACAUGGAUUUAUUUCUGGGUUCUCUAUUCUGUGUCAAAAUCAGGGAGUGUGUAACUUCAGAUCUUUUUAGAAUAAGGUAAAAUUUAAGUCAUAAGGAAGCACACUCAUGUAUUGUUUCCUUUUAAGGUUGAUAGACAUCAUUGUAUUUCAUCAAAAGCAAGAUUUCAUCCCAUUUUCAGAAGAAUCAUGAUUAUAUGUACCACUGAAAAAAUACACAGCCAACUAAAUCAUGUUACACAUUCAAUUAAAAACAUGCUGAUUUUGGAGAUGUGAAAACAAAUGUGUGUCUUAAAAUUGAUGAGAUGUGAUAUAUAAAACUGGGUUGGCCAGAAUGGUCAGGAGUCAGCAUUCAGGCAAGCAGAAGUGUAUUCCAACAGGGCUUUCACACCGUGUCUGACACUCGUCACUGACCUGUUUGUUGUCUCUGUGCACCUGUUUUGUAGGCUGACUCCCUCCAAGGUGCUAGUUGGUGCAGUGUUAAGUCCAUUUGUCUCAGCCAGAAAUCUGAAUAUCAUACGGGUUGCCUUCCCUCCUAUAGCUGACUCCUGUUCCUUGAUUCUGCCUCUUCAGUUCCUGUAGCUGCCUCUUCCAAAUCGCUGAGAGUCACAACAAUCCCACUGGAGCAGGUCUCCGCCAUCUGUUACAGGCAUGUCCCAGGAGUCUCCGGACAGGACUCUGUGUCCAGACUUUACGCUUCCACUUGAUUCUCUCCACGACAGCCAGCUGAAACAUGUUACUGCCGGGUGGGUGCCCGAUUGUGCUCUUCACUGUCUGAGAAUGAUGGCCGGGCACUGGAGCCAGUUCCCUGAACUUACUUCAAUCCAAGGCAUGAAUGCCACAGGCUCUUUCACACCUGCCAGUCUUCUUCCCAGGUGGUGCUAGUGGUAAGGAAUCCACCCGCCAACGCAGGAGACUUAAGAGGCGCGGGUUCAAUCCCUGGGUCGGGAAGAUCCCUGGAGGAGGAAAUGGUAACCGACUCUAGUAUUCUCGCCUGCAGAAUCCCAUGGACAAAGGAGCCUGGCCUGACUUUGCUACUCUGAGUCCCGGUUCCGGUACUCAUACGUCCCGGCUCUGGUCCACACAGAGGCCUGGCUCCGGACCUCAACGCUGAGAGCUGGCUCUGCUCCUCACUGAAGUCCAGCUGCACCCCUGCCUGAGUCUCGGCUCAGCUCAGCACGCCAGGUCCUCUCCGCACUGAGACCCGGCAAGGCUCUGCCCCUCACUGGGCCUGGCUGUGGUCCUCGGUGAGGCCUGGCCCCACUGCGCAAUCACGUGUGCCUCCCUUGCUCCCUGAGGUCCGGCUCCCUCCUCGGUGAGGACAGCUCUGCUCCACACGGGCCUGGUUACGGUCCUCACAGAGGCCAGGCUGUCUUCUCACUGCAGUUCAGCUGUGCUCCUCCUUGAGGCAUGACUUUGCUCCUCUGAGGCCUGGCUCUGCUCUCCACUGAGAACCAGCUCCAGUCCACAAUGAGGACCGGCUCUGGUCCCCACUGAGGCCUGUCUCCCGUCCUCACUGAGGUUCCACUCCGGUCCUGUGAUGUGCUCUGGGGCCCGGGUAGGGUCCGCACUGAGGCCAGGCUCCGCUCGGCUCCGCUCCGUGAGACCCAGCUCCUCCUGCAGAGGCCUGGCUCCGCUCAGCACUGCCGCACAGCUCCGCCCUGCAAUGGGCCUGGCUGUGGUUCUCGGUGAGGCCACGGUAUCGUCCUCAGUGAAGCACAGCUCCAGUCCACGCUCAGGUCCUUAGUGAGCCCCGGCUCUGGUCCUCACAGAGAUUUGGCUUGCUUCUAACCGAGGUUUGGUUCACCUCCGUGAGGCCUGACUGCUACUCUGAGGCCAGGCUCCCCUCCUCACUUGGGGCCAGCGCCACUCCUCAGGUAGGCCUGGCUCUGCUCCGCACCGGGGCCUGGCUCCAGCACUGAGUCCUGCUCUGGGCCUCACUGAGAUUCAGCUCCAGCACUGAGUCCUGCUCUGGGCCUCACUGUGGUUCAGCUACCCUCCUCACUGAAGCCCAACGUUCCUUCACUGAGAGUGAAGGUUCACCUCCACUCUUCACUCAGGCCCAGCCUGGUCCUCCUUGAGGACGGAAUUUGGUUCUCUGAGGCAAGACUCCAUUCUACACUGAGGCCCAGCUACACUCCACAUAGAGACUGGACUCGGGUCCUCUCUGAGGUCUGGCUCUGCUCCUCAGUGAGACCCAGCUUCUCUCUGACUGAGGACUGGCUCCACCCACACUGGGGUCUGGCUAGGGUUCUCACUGAGCCCAGCUGGCUUCUCACUGAGGUUCUCUUCUCCCUCUUCCUGAGGAUUGACUUGACUACUCUGAGUCCCGGCUCUGGACCUCACUGAGGCCAGGCUCCACUCCACACCGGGGCAUGGCUACAACCUCAGUGAGUUCCGGCUCGCUUCUCACUGAGGUUCCAUUCUCUUCCUGAGGCCUGACUUUGCUACUCUGAGUCCUGGCUGUAAGGCGAGCAUGGAGAAAAGGAGAGUGAGCCGGACAGUCAGGCAGAGAAAUAUUUAUUAUAGGAAGAAAGAAAGUGGUUUUAGAGAGAAACCAGUGCUCUCUUGUUACAGCCAACCCUUCUUAUACCGUAUCGAUGGGAAAUUGUGCCCCAGAGGGGUUUAUCCUUAGCCCACAGCUGGAGUCCUGUGGUCACAUAGUCAAAGGGGUCUCAUGGUCGGGUGGUCAUGUAGUCUUGAGAAACUGGCACCAGCAGGGAAAAACAGGGUAUCGCCUUAAGGAAAAAACAGAAAGCCGUCAGGGCAACGUGGCCACCGCGAUUUCACCCCUUGUGUCAGGUUACCACCAUGGGCCAUAUUUUAACUACAGCUAUGAGCCCCUUGAGAGCCCUAACACUGGCUCUGGUCCUCAACAAGGUCCAGCUCCUCUCCUCACUGAGGCCUGGCUCACUUCUCACCACGGUUCACCUCUGAUCCUCCCUGAGACCUGACUUUGCUUCUCUGAGGCCCAGCUCUGGUCCUCCUCGAUGCCAGACUUUGCUUCUCUGAGGCAAGGCUCCAUUCUGCACUGAGGCCUGGCUCCACUCCACACAGAGGAUGGCUCCAGUGCUCAGUGAGACCGGCUCCUCUCUGCCCUGCACUGGGGCCCGGCUAUGGUCCUCAGUGAAGCCCGGCUCCACGCCUCACUGAGGGUCGGCUCUUGUCCCCAGGGAGGCCAGGCUUCGGUCCACACAGAACCUGGCUCACUUCUCACUGAGGUUCUGUUCUCCUCCUCCCUGAGGCCUGAAUUUACUUCCCUGAGGCCUGGCUCCUCUAGGGACUGAGAACCGGCUCCGCUCUCCACCGAGGCUCCUAUCCGCUCCUCACUGGGACCCACCUCCCUCAGCACUGAGGCCCGGGCCUCACAGAGGCCAGGCUCGCUUCUCACUACCUUUCACCUGCUUCUCCCUGAGGCCUGACUGCUUCACCGAGUCCCGUCUCCGCUACUCAGGAAGGUUCGGCUCUGGUCCUCCCUGAGGCCCAGGUCACACGUUACAGAGGCUCAUCUCUGCUCCUCCCUGAGGCCCGACUUCGCCUGUCUUCAGCCCGGCUCCGCUCCACAAUGAGGCCCGGCUCUGCUCCUCACCGAGGCCCAGUCUGGUCCUAAGGCUCGCCUCCGGCCUUCACUGAGUCCUCGCUCUGCUCCUCGCUUAGGCCCAACUUUGCUUCUCUGAGGCCUGGCUUGCUUCUCACUGAGGUUCAGCUCUGCCCCUCUGAGUCCAGACUUUGCUACUCUGAGGCCCUGCUCCGCCCCACUCCACACUGAGGCCUGGCUCACUUCUCACUGAGGUUCCGCUCUCCUCCUUGAAGCCUGACUCUGCUUCUCUGAGGCAAGUCUCCGCCCCUCACAGAGGCCCAGCUGUACUUCCCUGAGGCCCUGCUCCACUCGUCGGUAUGGCCCGGCUCUGCUCCUCACUGAUUCCCAGCUCUGGUCCUCAUUCUGACCUGAUUCUGUUCGUCUCUCAGACCUGACUAUAACAGGAGUCUCCAUCAAUAUGGAACUUAAAACCACAACCUUCACAUACUUUAAAAUUGUUAUAUUAAAAAUAAAGGUAAUUUUUGGCAACAAUGUAUAGAAAUUGGAACUUUUAAAUGUUAGUUGUCGAAAUGUGAUAUGGCUCAAUCUACUUACGUAAAACUUUGGCAUCUUAUAAAAAAUAUAAAAAUGCAGUUAUCAUCAGUUUCAAAAAGUCUGCUCUUACAUAUAUACCCAAAGAAUUUUAAAUAACUGUUGAAAUAAAACUUGUAUACCAACACUCACAGCAGCGCUGCUCUCGAUGCCCCUCUGAAAGAAGAAUCAAAACGCCCAUCAUUGGGUUAUGGGAUAAGGAAAGUAGGGUAGCUCCGUUAGGUGCGUUAUUUUACCAUAUAAGGAGCAGAAUCUGUGGACAUCAGUGGGUGGGGUCCUCAAACACUGAAACAUGAAGUUAACGUAUAACGCCUGGAUUUGCCUACGGCCAUGCCACCCUGAUCACACCUGAUCUCGACUGACCUCUUAAGCUAAGCAGGGUCUGACCUGGUUAGUACUUGGAUGGAAGAAUCCCUCAAUUCCACUCCAGGCUGUGCCCGCAAAUAUUUAAAAGCAAGGACUGGAACAGGUAUUUGUACCCCAUAUUCACAGCAGCCAAAAGGUGAAAUCAAAACAUGUGUCCUUCAGC